RNAcentral lists this ribosomal RNA (483 nucleotides) under uncultured bacterium. Its description in RNAcentral is "partial 16S ribosomal RNA". It matches the Rfam family "Bacterial small subunit ribosomal RNA", at positions 28 to 507 of the family's 1533-position model. The record is from RNAcentral.
GACGAACGCUGGCGGCGUGCUUAACACAUGCGAGUCGAACGCUGAAGCUCAGCUUUUGUUGGGUGGAUGAGUGGCGAACGGGUGAGUAACACGUGAGUAACCUGCCUCCUUCUUUGGGAUAACGCCCGGAAACGGGUGCUAAUACUGGAUAUUCACUGGUCUUCGCAUGGGGGUUGGUGGAAAGGGUUUUUCUGGUGGGGGAUGGGCUCGCGGCCUAUCAGCUUGUUGGUGGGGUGAUGGCCUACCAAGGCUUUGACGGGUAGCCGGCCUGAGAGGGUGACCGGUCACAUUGGGACUGAGAUACGGCCCAGACUCCUACGGGAGGCAGCAGUGGGGAAUAUUGCACAAUGGGCGCAAGCCUGAUGCAGCGACGCCGCGUGAGGGAUGGAGGCCUUCGGGUUGUGAACCUCUUUCGCUCAUGGUCAAGCCGCAACAAUGGUUGUGGUGAGGGUAGUGGGCAAAGAAGCGCCGGCUAACUACGUG